CUUUAAGAGAGAAGAACUAUAUCUAAAGGGGUUUCGGCCCCCUCAAAUCUGAGUAUAAUCUCAGUCUCUCUU
Molecule: transfer RNA, 72 nt
Filed under: Hirudinaria manillensis
Lineage: Eukaryota; Metazoa; Annelida; Clitellata; Hirudinida; Hirudinidae
Description: Poecilobdella manillensis tRNA-Arg
Source: RNAcentral